This 214-nucleotide ribosomal RNA is filed under the name Mya arenaria. Its description in RNAcentral is "partial ribosomal RNA". It matches the Rfam family "Eukaryotic small subunit ribosomal RNA", at positions 1429 to 1647 of the family's 1831-position model. Lineage: Eukaryota; Metazoa; Mollusca; Bivalvia; Myida; Myidae. The record is from RNAcentral.
CUUAGAGGGACAAGUGGCGCUUAGCCACACGAGAUUGAGCAAUAACAGGUCUGUGAUGCCCUUAGAUGUUCGGGGCUGCACAUGCGCUACAAUGAAUGGAUCAGCGUGNGUCUCGCCUGCCGAGAGGGCCGGGHAACCCGUUGAACCCCAUUCGUGCUAGGGAUUGGGGCUUGCAAUUGUUCCCCAUGAACGAGGAAUUCCCAGUAAGCGCGAG